This 497-nucleotide ribosomal RNA is filed under the name uncultured bacterium. Its description in RNAcentral is "partial 16S ribosomal RNA". It matches the Rfam family "Bacterial small subunit ribosomal RNA", at positions 28 to 507 of the family's 1533-position model. The record is from RNAcentral.
GAUGAACGCUGGCGGCGUGCCUAAUACAUGCAAGUCGAGCGAACAGACGAGGAGCUUGCUCCUCUGACGUUAGCGGCGGACGGGUGAGUAACACGUGGAUAACCUACCUAUAAGACUGGGAUAACUUCGGGAAACCGGAGCUAAUACCGGAUAAUAUAUUGAACCGCAUGGUUCAAUAGUGAAAGACGGUUUUGCUGUCACUUAUAGAUGGAUCCGCGCCGCAUUAGCUAGUUGGUAAGGUAGCGGCUUACCAAGGCAACGAUGCGUAGCCGACCUGAGAGGGUGAUCGGCCACACUGGAACUGAGACACGGUCCAGACUCCUACGGGAGGCAGCAGUAGGGAAUCUUCCGCAAUGGGCGAAAGCCUGACGGAGCAACGCCGCGUGAGUGAUGAAGGUCUUCGGAUCGUAAAACUCUGUUAUUAGGGAAGAACAAAUGUGUAAGUAACUAUGCACGUCUUGACGGUACCUAAUCAGAAAGCCACGGCUAACUACGUG